This 444-nucleotide ribosomal RNA is filed under the name uncultured bacterium. RNAcentral's name for it is "partial 16S ribosomal RNA". It matches the Rfam family "Bacterial small subunit ribosomal RNA", at positions 331 to 792 of the family's 1533-position model. The record is from RNAcentral.
CCAGACUCCUACGGGAGGCAGCAGUGGGGAAUAUUGCACAAUGGGGGAAACCCUGAUGCAGCGACGCCGCGUGAGCGAUGAAGUAUUUCGGUAUGUAAAGCUCUAUCAGCAGGGAAGAAAAUGACGGUACCUGACUAAGAAGCCCCGGCUAACUACGUGCCAGCAGCCGCGGUAAUACGUAGGGGGCAAGCGUUAUCCGGAUUUACUGGGUGUAAAGGGAGCGUAGACGGCGGUGCAAGCCAGAUGUGAAAGCCCGGGGCCCAACCCCGGGACUGCACUGGAAACUGCCGGGCUGGAGUGUCGGAGGGGCAGGCGGAAUUCCUAGUGUAGCGGUGAAAUGCGUAGAUAUUAGGAGGAACACCGGUGGCGAAGGCGGCCUGCUGGACGACGACUGACGCUGAGGCUCGAAAGCGUGGGGAGCAAACAGGAUUAGAUACCCGCGUA